UGGGGAAUAUUGGACAAUGGGCGGAAGCCUGAUCCAGCCAUGCCGCGUGUGUGAAGAAGGCCUUUUGGUUGUAAAGCACUUUAAGCGAGGAGGAGGCUACCUGGAUUAAUACUCUGGGAUAGUGGACGUUACUCGCAGAAUAAGCACCGGCUAACUCUGUGCCAGCAGCCGCGGUAAUACGGAGGGUGCGAGCGUUAAUCGGAAUUACUGGGCGUAAAGCGUGCGUAGGCGGUGCGUUAAGUUAGAUGUGAAAGCCCCGGGCUUAACCUGGGAACUGCAUUUAAAACUGGCGCGCUAGAGUUAGGUAGAGGGGAGUGGAAUUUCAGGUGUAGCGGUGAAAUGCGUAGAGAUCUGGAGGAAUACCGAUGGCGAAGGCAGCCAUCUGGCCUAAUACUGACGC
RNAcentral lists this ribosomal RNA (400 nucleotides) under uncultured bacterium. RNAcentral's name for it is "bacterial SSU rRNA". It matches the Rfam family "Bacterial small subunit ribosomal RNA", at positions 355 to 746 of the family's 1533-position model. The record is from RNAcentral.